Molecule: ribosomal RNA, 274 nt
Filed under: uncultured bacterium
Lineage: Bacteria
Description: partial 16S ribosomal RNA
Rfam family: Bacterial small subunit ribosomal RNA
Source: RNAcentral
AGACGGAGGGCGCAAGCGAUGUCCGGAUUUACUGGGCGUAAAGCGCACGUAGGCGGCUUUGUAAGUCAUCUGUGAAAUCCCGGGGCUCAACUCCGGGGCUGCAGGUGAUACUGCAAGACUAGAGCUCGGUAGAGGCAAGUGGAAUUCCCGGUGUAGCGGUGGAAUGCGUAGAUAUCGGGAAGAACACCAGUGGCGAAGGCGGCUUGCUGGGCCGAUGCUGACGCUGAGGAGCGAAAGCGUGGGGAGCAAACGGGAUUAGAUACCCCGGUAGUCC